This is a long non-coding RNA of Oreochromis aureus, 328 nucleotides long. RefSeq lists it as uncharacterized. NCBI's taxonomy places the organism in Eukaryota, Metazoa, Chordata, Actinopteri, Cichliformes, Cichlidae. The record is from RefSeq and is a predicted model, not a curated record. The transcript has 3 exons.
UGGCUCGGUAGGAGUCCCCAUCACGACAUCUCUCCGAAGACAUCAGGCAGAUCUCACAGUCCUUCCAUCACAUUCAGCGACUCCUCGCUCAGCCUGAGCCAGAGAAAAUCUAAGGCAUUGGGUCCCGAGUUCGUCAGAAUGCCAGAUGAGCAACAAAUUGUUCUUGAGCUUCCAGGAUCUAUUGUGUCCAGAAAGGGCCGUUCAUGUUCGUCUCAGAGAGAAGUGACUGUUGUGAUGCCUAAUGGACAGUACGUGGUGGUUCGCUGUGACAUUAAGUCCAGAGCAAGAGAUGUGUUUGACAUGGUGGUCGCGCACGCAAACUUGGUGG